Molecule: non-coding RNA, 22 nt
Filed under: Arabidopsis thaliana (thale cress)
Lineage: Eukaryota; Viridiplantae; Streptophyta; Magnoliopsida; Brassicales; Brassicaceae
Source: RNAcentral
GCUUCGGCGCAAGUGAAAUACC